RNAcentral lists this ribosomal RNA (253 nucleotides) under uncultured bacterium. RNAcentral describes it as "partial 16S ribosomal RNA". It matches the Rfam family "Bacterial small subunit ribosomal RNA", at positions 524 to 776 of the family's 1533-position model. The record is from RNAcentral.
UACGGAGGGAGCUAGCGUUGUUCGGAAUUACUGGGCGUAAAGCGCGCGUAGGCGGCUUUGUAAGUUAGAGGUGAAAGCCCGGAGCUCAACUCCGGAACUGCCUUUAAAACUGCAUCGCUUGAAUCCAGGAGAGGUGAGUGGAAUUCCGAGUGUAGAGGUGAAAUUCGUAGAUAUUCGGAAGAACACCAGUGGCGAAGGCGGCGACCUGGGCCAAUAUUGACGCUGAGGUGCGAAAGCGUGGGGAGCAAACAGG